UACGUAGGGGGCAAGCGUUGUCCGGAUUUAUUGGGCGUAAAGAGCGUGUAGGCGGCCAUACAGGUCAGCUGUGAAAACUCGAGGCUCAACCUCGAGACGUCGGUUGAAACCGUAUGGCUAGAGUCCGGAAGAGGAGAGUGGAAUUCCCGGUGUAGCGGUGAAAUUCGUAGAUAUUGGGAAGAACACCGAUGGCGAAGGCAGCCAUCUGGACCGACACUGACGCUGAGGCGCGAAAGCGUGGGGAGCAAACAGG
This 253-nucleotide ribosomal RNA is filed under the name uncultured bacterium. Its description in RNAcentral is "partial 16S ribosomal RNA". It matches the Rfam family "Bacterial small subunit ribosomal RNA", at positions 524 to 776 of the family's 1533-position model. The record is from RNAcentral.